UCCCACCACCUACCUCAGCCUGUAGGCAAUUCUCAAAGAGUCCAUCUGAAACCUAUUUGAAACUUGCAUUUCUCUGUGUACCUGCCUACAUCUGCCUCUGGAAAUAAUGUUCUCUCCUUCUCUUCCCUCUUCCUCAUGUGAGUGCCUCUCAUUGGAUGAUGUUUCCUGGAGCCAUACAGAGGAGAUUCUGGGAAAUGCAGCUACAAGCUUCUCUUCUACAAAGCAGGAAGAUAUCAGAAGGUGACGUCAGUG
Ceratotherium simum simum (southern white rhinoceros) is the source of this 252-nucleotide non-coding RNA. The record is from RefSeq and is a predicted model, not a curated record. Lineage: Eukaryota; Metazoa; Chordata; Mammalia; Perissodactyla; Rhinocerotidae.